GUCGUACUGAGCUUAGAGUUUGAUCCUGGCUCAGAACGAACGCUGGCGGCAGGCUUAACACAUGCAAGUCGAGCGAUCCCUUCGGGGAUAGCGGCGGACGGGUGAGUAACGCGUGGGAACGUACCCUCUUCUGCGGGAUAGCCACUGGAAACGGUGAGUAAUACCGCAUACGCCCUUUUGGGGAAAGAUUUAUCGGAGGAGGAUCGGCCCGCGUUGGAUUAGGUAGUUGGUGGGGUAAUGGCCUACCAAGCCGACGAUCCAUAGCUGGUUUUAGAGGAUGAUCAGCCACACCGGGACUGAGACACGGCCCGGACUCCUACGGGAGGCAGCAGUGGGGAAUAUUGGACAAUGGGCGCAAGCCUGGUCCAGCCAUGCCGCGUGUGUGAAGAAGGCUUUCGGGUUGUAAAGCACUUUCAGCGGGGAAGAAGGCCUGGCGGUCAAUACCCGCCAUGAACGACAUCACCCGCAGAAGAAGCACCGGCUAACUCCGUGCCAGCAGCCGCGGUAAUACGGAGGGUGCAAGCGUUAAUCGGAAUUACUGGGCGUAAAGCGCGCGUAGGCGGCGUGUCACGCCGGGUGUGAAAGCCCCGGGCUCAACCUGGGAACGGCAUCCGGAACGGGCAGGCUAGAGUGCAGGAGAGGAAGGUAGAAUUCCCGGUGUAGCGGUGAAAUGCGUAGAGAUCGGGAGGAAUACCAGUGGCGAAGGCGGCCUUCUGGACUGACACUGACGCUGAGGUGCGAAAGCGUGGGUAGCAAACAGGAUUAGAUACCCUGGUAGUCCACGCCGUAAACGAUGUCGACUAGCCGUUGGGUCCCUUGAGGACUUAGUGGCGCAGUUAACGCGAUAAGUCGACCGCCCGGGGAGUACGGCCGCAAGGUUAAAACUCAAAUGAAUUGACGGGGGCCCGCACAAGCGGUGGAGCAUGUGGUUUAAUUCGAUGCAACGCGAAGAACCUUACCUACCCUUGACAUCCUGCGAAGCCGGAAGAGAUUCUGGUGUGCCUUCGGGAGCGCAGAGACAGGCGCUGCAUGGCUGUCGUCAGCUCGUGUUGCGAAAUGUUGGGUUAAGUCCCGUAACGAGCGCAACCCUUAUCCUUAUUUGCCAGCGGGUCAUGCCGGGAACUCUAGGGAGACUGCCGGUGACAAACCGGAGGAAGGUGGGGACGACGUCAAGUCAUCAUGGCCCUUACGGGUAGGGCUACACACGUGCUACAAUGGCCGGUACAAAGGGUUGCAAAGCCGCGAGGUGGAGCUAAUCCCGAAAAGCCGGUCUCAGUUCGGAUCGGAGUCUGCAACUCGACUCCGUGAAGUCGGAAUCGCUAGUAAUCGUGAAUCAGAAUGUCACGGUGAAUACGUUCCCGGGCCUUGUACACACCGCCCGUCACACCAUGGGAGUGGACUGCACCAGAAGUGGUUAGCUUAACCCUCGGGAGAGCGAUCACCACGGUGUGGUUCAUGACUGGGGGUGAAGUCGUAACAAGGUAACC
Molecule: ribosomal RNA, 1487 nt
Filed under: uncultured bacterium
Lineage: Bacteria
Description: bacterial SSU rRNA
Rfam family: Bacterial small subunit ribosomal RNA
Source: RNAcentral